This 550-nucleotide ribosomal RNA is filed under the name Phormidium sp. BDU 100962. RNAcentral's name for it is "bacterial SSU rRNA". It matches the Rfam family "Bacterial small subunit ribosomal RNA", at positions 159 to 610 of the family's 1533-position model. Lineage: Bacteria; Bacillati; Cyanobacteriota; Cyanophyceae; Oscillatoriales; Oscillatoriaceae. The record is from RNAcentral.
CGUGGUCCCGCCUUAUGUUUUUUCUCGCCCCGCUUUCGUCGUGUGUCCCCCACGCCUGAGUGACGCUGGUCCCCCUCCUUUUCGACACCGCCCGUCUCCUCGCAGACUGUCGCUUUGUACCANAUGACCCCCUGUCGGGACCUCAAAGAUUUAUCGCUUCAGGAGAGGAUGGCCUUGGGUAAUUAUUAAACUAAUUCGGUGAGCGAAGGUGCCCUAUCAAGAAUGUGUCGCAUCCUUGAUUCUGCCUCUCUUAAGGAUGAUCACCCACCCUGGGACUGAGACACGGCCCACACUCCUACGGGAGGCAGCAGUGGGGAAUAUUGGACAAUGGGCGCAAGCCUGAUCCAGCCAUGCCGCGUGAGUGAUGAAGGCCUUAGGGUUGUAAAGCUCUUUCAGCGGAGAAGAUGAUGACGGUACCCAGAGAAGAAGCCCCGGCUAACUCCGUGCCAGCAGCCGCGGUAAUACAGAGGGCGCUAGCGUUGUUCGGAAUUACUGGGCGUAAAGCGCGCGUACGCAGUCUUGUCACGUCAGGUGGGAAAACCCCGAGCUC